ACCGUCUGGUGAUGGAGAUGAUGG
Molecule: non-coding RNA, 24 nt
Filed under: Arabidopsis thaliana (thale cress)
Lineage: Eukaryota; Viridiplantae; Streptophyta; Magnoliopsida; Brassicales; Brassicaceae
Source: RNAcentral